UACAUGCAACAAUGCCCAACCCUCACGGGAAGGGUGCACUUAUUAGAUCAAGACCAACCGGGUUUCGGCUCGAAGUUUUGAUGACUCUGGAUAAUUGUUUCGAUCGCACGGCCUUUGUGUCGGCGACGUUUCUUUCAAAUGUCUGCCCUAUCAACUAUAGAUGGUAGAUAAAUUGUCUACCAUGGUGAUAACGGGUAACGGGGAAUCAGGGUUCGAUUCCGGAGAGGGAGCCUGAGAAACAGCUACCACAUCCAAGGAAGGCAGCAGGCGCGCAAAUUACCCACUCUCAAAACGAGGAGGUAGUGACAAUAAAUAACGAUGCGGGACUCAAUCGAGGCCCCGUAAUCGGAAUGAGUACACUUUAAAUCCUUUAACGAGGAUCAAUUGGAGGGCAAGUCUGGUGCCAGCAGCCGCGGUAAUUCCAGCUCCAAUAGCGUAUAUUAAAGUUGUUGCAGUUAAAAAGCUCGUAGUUGGAUCUAAGGAUUUGGACGGAUGGUACGCUUUAGGGUGUCACUGUCUGUCUGGCCUAUAUUAGUCGUGGAAGCCUUUAGUGCUCUUCAUUGAGUGCUUUGGGUGCCCGACGCAAUUACUUUGAGAAAAUUAGAGUGCUUAAAGCAGGCAUAAUGCUUGUAUACUGUUGCAUGGAAUAAUGAAAUAGGAGUUUGCUUCUAUUUUGUUGGUUUUCGGAAGUGAACUAAUGAUUAACGGGGACAGACGGGGGCAUUUGUAUGGAGGCGAUAGAGGUGAAAUUCUGUGACCGUCUCCCGACAAACUACUGCGAAAGCAUUUGCCAGGAAUGUUUUCAUUAAUCAAGAACGAAGUCAGAGGUUCGAAGACGAUCAGAUACCGUCCUAGUUCUGACCAUAAAUGAUGCCAUCUAGUAAUUCCCGAAGUUUGCUUGUACGAACUUGGGAGCGGCCCCCGCGAAAGCAAAGAUUUUGGGUUCCGGGGGAAGUAUGGUUGCAAAGCUGAAACUUAAAGGAAUUGACGGAAGGGCACCACCAGGAGUGGAGCCUGCGGCUUAAUUUGACUCAACACGGGAAACCUCACCCGGCCCGGACACUGUAAUGAUUGACAGAUUAACAGCUCUUUCUUGAUUUGGUGGUUGGUGGUGCAUGGCCGUUCUUAGUUGGUGGAGUGAUUUGUCUGGUUAAUUCCGAUAACGAACGAGACUCUACCCUGCUAAAUAGUACGCAGAUAAUAAUUCUGUCUGUGCUGACUUCUUAGAGGGACUAACGGCGUUUAGCCGUGUGAGAAAGAGCAAUAACAGGUCUGUGAUGCCCUUAGAUGUUCGGGGCCGCACGCGCGCUACACUAAUUACAGCAACGGGUAUGCUCCUGGUUAGAAAUGACUGGGUAACCCGAUUGAAUCGUAAUUGUGACAGGGAUCGAGGUUUGCAAUUAUCUCUCGUGAACGAGGAAUUCCCAGUAAGCGCAAGUCAUUAGCUUGUGCUGAUUACGUCCCUGCCCUUUGUACACACCGCCCGUCGCUACUACCGAUUGAACGGUUUAGUGAGGUCCUUGGAUUGACUGUA
Molecule: ribosomal RNA, 1534 nt
Filed under: Monocelis lineata
Lineage: Eukaryota; Metazoa; Platyhelminthes; Proseriata; Monocelididae
Description: SSU rRNA
Rfam family: Eukaryotic small subunit ribosomal RNA
Source: RNAcentral